RNAcentral lists this small RNA (470 nucleotides) under Pan troglodytes (chimpanzee). Its description in RNAcentral is "processed transcript". The record is from RNAcentral. Lineage: Eukaryota; Metazoa; Chordata; Mammalia; Primates; Hominidae.
GGCAGGGGCUGGGGUGGUGCUGCUGCUAUGAGCUGCACCAUCGAGAAGAUCCUGACAGACGCCAAGACGCUGCUGGAGAGGCUGCGGGAGCACGAUGCGGCCGCCGAGUCGCUGGUGGAUCAGUCGGCAGCGCUGCACCGGCGGGUAGCAGCUAUGCGGGAGGCGGGGACAGCGCUUCCGGACCAGUAUCAAGAGGAUGCAUCCGAUAUGAAGGACAUGUCCAAAUACAAACCUCACAUUCUGCUGUCCCAAGAGAACACACAGAUUAGAGACUUGCAACAGGAAAACAGAGAGCUGUGGAUUUCCUUGGAGGAACACCAGGAUGCUUUGGAACUCAUCAUGAGCAAAUAUCGGAAACAGAUGUUACAGUUAAUGGUUGCUAAAAAAGCGGUGGAUGCUGAACCAGUCCUGAAAGCUCACCAGUCUCACUCUGCAGUAAGAAACUUUGAAUAAAUUCGAAGUGAACCAAA